CCCCCCCCCCCCCCCCCCCCCCCCCCCAACACGCCUCUCUCCAUGUUACUCUGCUGCGUGGAUCCGUCUCCCCCCAGCAACCAGCACAGCUAAGAAUAUGCUAUCUCACAAGGUCUGCAAGACCUUGUAAAUGUGUUGAUUCGACGGUCAAAGUUUGUGUACUGCCCACAAUUCUACAAGAGGGAGAAGCCGCACGAACGCGGCAAGGCAACCAUUACGGCGUGGCUACCGCCGAAGCUGGGUGGCGCAGCGGUGUCGUUGAUCGCGGCUGUGUCCGGGGGAGAGCUGAGGCAUGGCAUGCAGCUGCUUGCGGCACGGACGUACGCCUACAUGGGUAGUUGGCUUACAAGCAUGGUUGGGGCCUGGCGGCACAAUUGGCAAAAUCAUGAAGAAUUUUCUUACUGGUGCUCCAAUUAUUCUCUUACGGAAAUGUAGGGAAAGGCUGCGUACAAUAGACCCAAAGUGGUCGGACCCUUCCCCAGACCCUGCGCAAGCGGGAGCUACAUGCACUGGGGCUGCCCUUUACUGAAGAAUCAUGUGCAUCUGUUGCAGGUCAGUUCUGUUAUUUUCUCCAGCAAUGCCGCUUUACAUUGAUGGUUCAUGUGUUUAAAGUUUGGGUGUCUGAAGCUUGUUGCAGUACUGUGUUAUCACCAGUUCAAAGCUUGGUUUGGUCUUGGUUGUAAAAUAACAGUUAUUUUAUCUAUACAAUAUUCUUCGACAAGGCUAGCCUUCUUUCCGUGUUCAUGGAUUCAAAAAGCACCUUACACUUUAAAAGCCUAAAAGGUGUAUUAUGGCAUGAAACCUCAAAAGCUAUUUAUAGGUUCAACAACUAUACUAUCCUGCUAAUUUCAGAGUUUCAGUUUCAUCAGUCGUCACAUGAACGUAUACACUAUUUUGCUUUGGCUAGAUCUGUAUUGGUUAGUUGACCAUUUAAGUAUGCUUUUGGAUCUUGCUUAUCGCUUUUAUUUCUCAUGGGUUAUGCAACAUGCACAUUGGUGUCACAUUUUUUAGAUGUGAUCCUAAUAUGUUACCUUAUAAUCCCUUUCCUGACCAAUCAGUUCAGUCUGAUGGAUGUUUUAUUUAUCUUAGAAUUACAAGGAAAUGGAUUACUUUUAUUUGGUAAAUAUUAUUUCAGAAUCCUGCUGGCUGAAGAAUUCAGUUGAAAAGGUAUGUCAUUUAGCUCUUAUUCUAUUUCCCACUAUUUGUGUUUAUUGUUCCUUUUUGCCGGUGCGAACAUGGAUACAGAGCAUUUGUAUUUGCCAAGCAUUGUGUAAAUAUUGUGGCCAAUUUGUCAUACGUUUGGCAAAUAACAAAGCGGAACAAAGCUAUUAGUCUUUGCAAGUUGUAGUGCAAAGAAAUCUUUGCACCUGGUCACAUGGUUAGGAUAUGUUUACUCCUAGCGAUAGUUCAAAUAAAAAUCCAGACAACAGUGACUACGGGCUGUGAUUAAUUUGAGCAGAGGAAGCUGGGGCGCAGGACUGAAGUUGUUCUUGCUGAUGGUCCAAGCUGCAACAUACUUAACAUGAAGUUGGUACGUGUUGAAGGAAAUCAGGGAUUAUUGUUCGUUUAUACCAAAAUUGUUGCUUCCUAACAUACAUGCUUGAUAGCUUAUCUGAGGUCUCAUAAUUUUAGGUGUA
Long non-coding RNA from Triticum aestivum (bread wheat), 1637 nucleotides. RefSeq lists it as uncharacterized. The transcript is spliced from 3 exons. Lineage: Eukaryota; Viridiplantae; Streptophyta; Magnoliopsida; Poales; Poaceae. The record is from RefSeq and is a predicted model, not a curated record.